AUUAUAUGUAUUUCAGCUGACACGCCAAAGGAGAGCUGCCCUAUUACUGUCUCUCCUUAAUCCUAACACGCAACUCCGCCAGGUAAUAAUGUAAUGCAAAAGGUAUUGUUAUAUAUGUACUGAGCAUAUGUUACACGUCUACAUUGGUAUUUCUCCGUACUUAGUAAUAAGUUGAAGAUCAAACAUACAUGUUCAAGUUAAGCUUAAGUCCAAUUCAAGGUUCAAAGGAGUGCGAGCCCACGUCAUGUGUUCAUGCCAGCUGAAUUCAGGAUCAUAGUUUGUUACAACAAUAUGAACCCAAGAUCAAGCUAUAAAAAAUCGUUGACUCAUGCUCAAUGUUUUAAUUCGAGAUCAAGCAUUUCAGCACUUGAAUUAGAAGCCAAACCCAUCAAAUUAAAUUCAAAAUAAAGCAUUCCAGGACUUGAAUAAUUAAUGUGAUUCCUUGCGGAUCCACUAUGGAUCCAAACGAUUUAAUCCGUAUGAGAUUGUCAUAAAAUCUUGAAGUCUUUCCUUUUCUUCUUAGUUGAGUACUGCUUGUUAUUAAAUUUGUAUUACUGUAAUAUAUACUAAAACCAGUGAUCAUAUUCCAGAAAUCUUAUUUAAUCGUGCAUUUUCAUAAACUAACUUACAAUGAACAAAAAUCAGGGGCGACCCUCAUAUAUCACUUCUCACAAAACUUGUAUAAUCCAUUUUUGUUAUUAAACUUCAGAUUUUUCUGUGGAUGCUCGACACUAAAUUUCUACCACUUGUUUUUGUGUUUCACUAGGAGAACUUCUGCUGACAACAUUGAUGCUUGAAAUUAUCUGAUGAACUGUAUUUUUUGGCGUUGUUCGUGGCUGGAAAUGAUACAAGUGAAUUCGUUGGUUUUUAUAAAGAAAUUUUUACAAACCACUAUUGCAUAGUGGUUAUUAGUUAGUUGUAGCUACCAUUUACUAUAUUACUUUCUAUAUCUAUAUUUUCAGGUUUUUUAGAGUAUAUUG
RNAcentral lists this long non-coding RNA (980 nucleotides) under Nicotiana benthamiana. Its description in RNAcentral is "long non-coding RNA (NBEN_LNC033219)". The record is from RNAcentral. Lineage: Eukaryota; Viridiplantae; Streptophyta; Magnoliopsida; Solanales; Solanaceae.